This 1346-nucleotide long non-coding RNA is filed under the name Bemisia tabaci. RNAcentral's name for it is "lncRNA ENSASIAIIG012827". Lineage: Eukaryota; Metazoa; Arthropoda; Insecta; Hemiptera; Aleyrodidae. The record is from RNAcentral.
GUUAGAAGCUAUGGUAAAGAAUCGAUAGUGCGAUAAUCGAACAAUCGCAUUCGAUACGAUAUUCGAUAUUCACCAGCUGUAGAUUCCAUCAUGGCGGCCAUGCAUGCAUUUUCCCGCGUAAACACGGCCGGUGCCCAAAUUCCGGAUCGCUCGCUCAAUUAAUUUUAAUUUAUUUAAUUAUUAGCCGUUGAAACUGUCAUCUUCUUUGCUCAUUUAGAAGUAUUUCAUCAUUUCGAGACGAAGAUUUAACCACAGGGCCAACGAAAAUCAAGAAGAAGCCAUGGGAAGUGCACAGAAACCGAAGUUCCGAGUGGAUAUUUACAGGAGGAACUGUUGGAAGAUGGCUCGGAACAUGCGGUCAUGCUGUGCACGUGGCGAUGUUGCUCUUGAGACAUCCCGCAACCGAAUUCCAAUGAGCAACCGAACUGGGUGGAAAUCUAUGAAAAGACUGUUGAAGUAUUAGCCCCUGAAGUGAACAAGCUGCUUAAUUUCAUGUAUUUUCAGGUGAGCAUUCUAAUUUUGUUAAUUUUCGACAUUUGGUAGGUAAUUGAAGUGGUGUAUUUUAGGUGAAAACUUGUAUCACAUUCUCUACCAAUGUGUCUAAGAAAUGUAACUGAUCUUGCUGGGCCAGAAAAACAUGCAGGAAAAAGGGGAUAUUUGAAUGCUUCAAACCACAAUUUCCACUGUUCGCCACAAUGCUAGAUGAACUUAGUUUAGGUUACCCCCCUUAUAAGUCCUCUGCAGCCUGAUUGUUGAAAUUUUUUGUUUGUCGGGACGACAUAGAUGACAUAGGUUAAAAGGCGGAGCGUGAUUGGUCGGCUAUGUCUUAUCGUUGCUUUGUCGUGCCUUUGUCGGGUGGGAUGAUCGACAUACUGUCGGAGACUUAAAAGGUUCCCUUAGCUUGUCGAGAGGUCAACCCGACAUAGACCCGACAAAGCAGCGAUAAGACAUAGCCGACCAAUCACGCUUCGCCUUUUAACCUAUGUCAUCUAUGUCGUCCCGACAAACUAAGAAUUUCAACAAUCAGGCUGCUGCUUGUUAAUUUGAUGUUAAAACUGGUGAUGGUGCCUAUAUUGCACAAAUGUGUGAUUUAUUUAUUUACUUAUUUGUUUGUUUAGUAUGAAUUGGUGCAAUUCAAAAACUAAAAAUUGUUAUAGUGCAUGCAAAAUAUCGAUCACCGUGCCUGAAAUUACCUGACGCAUUUAGCAAGAAAACGGUCUUGGUUGUGGACUUGUCAAAGGUCUUAGUCUUUUUGCUAUUCAUUCAGUUUUUCCGUCUAUUGAACCUCCAUCUUAUUUUUGCUAAUAUUCAUCGGAAAAUUUCAUUUUUUCUUGUUAGAUAUAUGC